Molecule: ribosomal RNA, 387 nt
Filed under: uncultured bacterium
Lineage: Bacteria
Description: bacterial SSU rRNA
Rfam family: Bacterial small subunit ribosomal RNA
Source: RNAcentral
AUUGAACGCUGGCGGCAUGCCUUACACAUGCAAGUCGAGCGGCAGCGCGGGGGCAACCCUGGCGGCGAGCGGCGGACGGGUGAGUAAUGCAUCGGAACGUGUCCUCUUGUGGGGGAUAACCAGUCGAAAGACUGGCUAAUACCGCAUGAGCUCGUAAGAGGAAAGCGGGGGACCCGCAAGGGCCUUGCGCGAGAGGAGCGGCCGAUGCCCGAUUAGCUAGUUGGUGGGGAAAAGCCUACCAAGGCGACGAUCGGUAGCUGGUCUGAGAGGACGACCAGCCACACUGGGACUGAGACACGGCCCAGACUCCUACGGGAGGCAGCAGUGGGGAAUUUUGGACAAUGGGGGAAACCCUGAUCCAGCCAUGCCGCGUGUGUGAAGAAGGCC